This 443-nucleotide ribosomal RNA is filed under the name uncultured bacterium. RNAcentral describes it as "partial 16S ribosomal RNA". It matches the Rfam family "Bacterial small subunit ribosomal RNA", at positions 338 to 795 of the family's 1533-position model. The record is from RNAcentral.
CCUACGGGGGGCAGCAGUGGGGCAUAUUGGGCAAUGGAGGAAACUCUGAUCCAGCAACGCCGCGUGAAUGAUGAAGGUCUUCGGUUUGUAAAGUUCUUUUCUAAGGGAAGAAGAAAGUGACGGUAUCUUAAGAAUAAGCCUCGGCUCGAUGCGUGCCCGCAGCCGCUGUAAUACGUAGGGGGCAAGCGUUAUGCGGACGGACUGGGCGUAAAGGGGGCGUAGGUGGUUUGAAAAGUUAGAAGCGCAACCCCGGGGCUAAACUUCGGAACUACUACGAACACUGUUGGCCUUGAGUGCAGGAGAGGCAAUCGGAAUUCCUAGUGUAGCGGUGGAAUGCGUAGAUAUUAGGAGGAACACCAGUGGCGAAGGCGGAUUGCUAGACAGUAACUGACGCUGAGGCACGAAAGCGUGGGGAGCAAACAGGAUUAGAUACCCUGGUAGUC